GAUGAACGCUGGCGGCGUGCCUAAUACAUGCAAGUCGAGCGAACAGACGAGGAGCUUGCUCCUCUGACGUUAGCGGCGGACGGGUGAGUAACACGUGGAUAACCUACCUAUAAGACUGGGAUAACUUCGGGAAACCGGAGCUAAUACCGGAUAAUAUAUUGAACCGCAUGGUUCAAUAGUGAAAGACGGUUUUGCUGUCACUUAUAGAUGGAUCCGCGCCGCAUUAGCUAGUUGGUAAGGUAACGGCUUACCAAGGCAACGAUGCGUAGCCGACCUGAGAGGGUGAUCGGCCACACUGGAACUGAGACACGGUCCAGACUCCUACGGGAGGCAGCAGUGGGGAAUCUUCCGCAAUGGGCGAAAGCUUGACGGAGCAACGCCGCGUGAGUGAUGAAGGUCUUCGGAUCGUAAAACUCUGUUAUUAGGGAAGAACAAAUGUGUAAGUAACUAUGCACGUCUUGACGGUACCUAAUCAGAAAGCCACGGCUAACUGCGUG
Molecule: ribosomal RNA, 497 nt
Filed under: uncultured bacterium
Lineage: Bacteria
Description: partial 16S ribosomal RNA
Rfam family: Bacterial small subunit ribosomal RNA
Source: RNAcentral